This is a long non-coding RNA of Mytilus californianus (California mussel), 2761 nucleotides long. RefSeq lists it as uncharacterized. The transcript has 4 exons. The record is from RefSeq and is a predicted model, not a curated record. Lineage: Eukaryota; Metazoa; Mollusca; Bivalvia; Mytilida; Mytilidae.
GUUAUUUUAGUGCCAAUGUUUUCAUGAAUGGGGAGUAAGACUUGGUGGUAUAAUAUUUCUAAUAUACAAGCUAGCAAUAAUUACUGCUUUUCAGUAUGGGUUGAGGUUUAGAAUGAUCAUUGGAGCUGACUUUUAAGGUUAGCAUUACAGCUUGUCCUUACAGAUUGAUGUUGGAAAUGGCCAUUGGAGUUGAAUUUUAAAGAUAACUAUUACUGUGGCUGAAGGAAAUAAUUGUUUGAUUAAUUCUCCGUAUCCCUCAGAGUUGUUGCAAAGGUUAUUAACAUGUAUACAGCUUGGCACUCUACACAAGGCAUUGGAUUUAACGUCCCCAUUCUGAUCGGACAUGGCUGCGAAUUCAUACAUCCUUCACUUCCAAACAGAAGCCCCACUGCCAGUCUGAAGAAGACCAAGCGUGACCAUAUUUCUAUUCCCCAGUCACCCUUUGGGGUCUUUCUAACUUGAAGGAAAGGUUUCCAAUAGGAAUGGUUCAUAUAACUCUUGUUAAAACCAGUUAAAGAAUGUAUUUGAUAAAUUCUAAAUCAGAACUAAAACUACAGAAGAGUACAAAAUCCGCAAGUGAUAAUUUGCAUUUCACAAUUUGUGAAGCUAAUUGGAAGCACGUACCGUCUGUCGUUGCGAAGCCAUUUGGGAGCAUCUCUGUCGGGUGAACCUGAUUGGAAGUAGAACCUCUGGCAGACCAAAGCCAAUUAGAAGCAUGAACUCUGGGUGAAGCCAACUUGGAAGCAGUAACCUCUGGAAAGUUGAUUCAACACAUUAUUAAUACACAAAUUUUAUUCAACAUUCUUUUUAAAGUUUACUUUCAUAUCAUCUUUUAUUUUCUAUUUAUAAUUACUCACCUUGUUGACAUUGCGACAUGCAAAUUAUCACUUCACUAUUUUUUUACUAGCCUAUGGUUUUUAUCCUGAUGAAGGUGCACUAGGAACCGAAACAUGUAGUCAGAGUUUCAAAUUUAUAUUUUUGAAUAUGAUAAUGUAUUUUGUUUUGUUAAGUAUAUUAUAAAAUUUUGAACUGACACCAGUUUUUUUAAGCUUAUAGAAAAGUCCUAGGUGCCAUACAGAGUCAAAUGCACGUUUAAUGUCUACAAAACAUGCAUAUAAUGGUUGGGAUUUAUUUCAAAUGUAUUUUUGUAUAAGAGUAUUUAUUACAAACAUAUGAUCAGAUGUACUACAUCCUCUUUUAAAUCCAAUUUGCUCUUUACAAAUGAGUUUUUUCUUCUCAAAAAAGGCUGUCAGUCUAUUAUUUAAUAUUCUGUUAAAAAGUUGACCAAUAGUGUCACUUAUUGUUAUACCUCUAUAGUUUGAAGGAUCAUAUAUUGACCCCUUUUUAUGUAUAGUUGAAAUAUUCUCUUUGACCAUAUUUUAGGAUAGAUUCCUGCAGAAAAAAAUCUAUUAAAAGCUUUUAAAAAUAGUGGGUUAAAAAUUGAUUGGCAGUAUUUAAUUAUUUCAUUUAGUAUCAUAUUUAAUCCACAGGAUUUGCCAUUCUUUAAAGAUUUAAUAGCUUUUAGUAGUUCAGACUCUGUAAUCUUGAAAGUCUUAAUUCAUUAAAAAUAUUAGUUUUUUCUAAAUUAUUAAGCUCCUGUAGAAUUGAUUCAUUUUCAGCAGUUGUAUUUUUAUUUAGGGAUUUAAAAUGAUUCUCCCAAUCUUCCAAACUGAUAUUUGUUUCCUUUUUAUCAUUGUUAUCUCCUUUUAAUUUUUCAACUAAUUUCCAAUAGGCUUUAGGAUUUUCAUUUUUAAGAUUAUCUAGCUUAUUAACGAAAUAACUUUUUAACUUACAUUUAUCUUUUCUCGUUUUUCUGUAAUGUUUUAGGCAUUUAAAAUAUGACCCUCUAAUGUAUUGGUCAUUGCUAUACUUUUGCAAUCGAUUGCAUUUAUGAUCUAGUUCUUGUUUUAUUUUCUUAAGACUGUAAUCAUACCAUAACUUUUGCUUUCUGUUAUUAACUUUCUUUUAAUAUUUUUUCAUAGUUUUCUUCUUUUUUAAGGCUAAGUCGCCUGCAGUUAUAAUGAUUUUAUUUAGGUUAUCUAUCAUAUAUUUUUAUGCUUAUGAGUUAUAUUCAUGUAUGUUGUUUUUAAUAAUAAAAAAUUCCCAAGGCAUAUAAGUAUAACAGGAAUUGAUUGUCUUCUUGCACACAUGUAAUACAUGUAGGCGUAGGAAUUUUAGCACCAAAAAUUAGGUUGUAAAGUGAACUGAAAUUUGUACUGUGAACAUUGUAUUUUUUUUAAGGAUCUUUAAGAGAACAAAGAUUUGCAUAAUUUUGUAUUUUUUAAAUUAAUUUUCAUGUAGGUGGAAUGGCUAUACAAACAUAAUCGUAUUUCGACUUUUGUACCAAAUUUUUUAUAGCCGUAGUCCUAAUGACAAGAUUUCUUUUUACUUACAUAUAUUCAAACAAAAUUAUGUUUUCUUUUACUCAUUUCCCGGAGUGAGGUCCUACACUUAGAGUUUCGCUGGCAUUGACAAAAGGACACAGGUUUCCUAAAAUGGGUUUUUCCUGGUUGGCCACGGAACAUUGAAAUGUAGUUAUUCAGUUUUUCAAAUGCAAAAGGUUGACAUGAGAUUAUUCAGUUUUUCAAAUGCAAAAGGUAGACAUGAGAUUAUUCAGUUUUUCAAAUGCAAAAGGUUGACAUGAGAUUAUUUUUCUAGUAUAACUUAUUGAAUUCAUAUUGUAUAAUGUAUAGUGUGUAAUUUGUCUUAUUAAAUCGGCAGCUCACAAUAUGCAGUACUCGAGCUAGUCAAAAAACAUAAA